CCUUCGGGUCUAGUGGCGCACGGGUGCGUAACGCGUGGGAAUCUGCCCUUGGGUCUGGAAUAACAGUUAGAAAUGACUGCUAAUACCGGAUGAUGACUUCGGUCCAAAGAUUUAUCGCCCAGGGAUGAGCCCGCGUCGGAUUAGCUAGUUGGUGAGGUAAAAGCUCACCAAGGCGACGAUCCGUAGCUGGUCUGAGAGGAUGAUCAGCCACACUGGGACUGAGACACGGCCCAGACUCCUACGGGAGGCAGCAGUGGGGAAUAUUGGACAAUGGGCGAAAGCCUGAUCCAGCAAUGCCGCGUGGGUGAUGAAGGCCUUAGGGUUGUAAAGCUCUUUUACCCGGGAUGAUAAUGACAGUACCGGGAGAAUAAGCCCCGGCUAACUCCGUGC
This 390-nucleotide ribosomal RNA is filed under the name uncultured bacterium. Its description in RNAcentral is "bacterial SSU rRNA". It matches the Rfam family "Bacterial small subunit ribosomal RNA", at positions 83 to 508 of the family's 1533-position model. The record is from RNAcentral.